CCCAGACUCCUACGGGAGGCAGCAGUGGGGAAUAUUGCACAAUGGGGGAAACCCUGAUGCAGCGACGCCGCGUGAGCGAGGAAGUAUUUCGGUAUGUAAAGCUCUGUCAGCAGGGAAGAAGAAUGACGGUACCUGAAGAAGAAGCACCGGCUAAAUACGUGCCGGCAGCCGCGGUAAUACGUAUGGUGCAAGCGUUAUCCGGAUUUACUGGGUGUAAAGGGAGCGCAGGCGGUUCUGCAAGUCUGAUGUGAAAGCCCGGGGCUCAACCGCGGGACUGCAUUGGAAACUGCGGGACUGGAGUGUCGGAGGGGUAAGCGGAAUUCCUGGUGUAGCGGUGAAAUGCGUAGAUAUCAGGAGGAACAUCGGUGGCGAAAGCGCUGUACUGGACCAUUAUUGACGCUGAGGAACGAAAGCCAGGGGAGCAAAUGGGAUUAGAUACCCCCGUAAAU
Molecule: ribosomal RNA, 449 nt
Filed under: uncultured bacterium
Lineage: Bacteria
Description: partial 16S ribosomal RNA
Rfam family: Bacterial small subunit ribosomal RNA
Source: RNAcentral